RNAcentral lists this transfer RNA (71 nucleotides) under Camelus bactrianus (Bactrian camel). It matches the Rfam family "tRNA". From Rfam's summary of the family: Transfer RNA (tRNA) molecules are approximately 80 nucleotides in length. Their secondary structure includes four short double-helical elements and three loops (D, anti-codon, and T loops). Lineage: Eukaryota; Metazoa; Chordata; Mammalia; Artiodactyla; Camelidae. RNAcentral also lists the same sequence under 2 other names. The record is from Rfam by way of RNAcentral.
GGGUAUAGCUCAAAUGGUAGAGUGCAUGUUUAGCAUGCAUGAAGUCCUAGGUUCAAUCCCCAGUAUGUCCU